AAUUUUGCGCAAUGGGCGAAAGCCUGACGCAGCGACACCGCGUGGGGGAUGAAGGGUCUUGGCUCGUAAACCCCUGUCAGAUGGGACGAGGGGGCAUAUAGUUAAUACCUGUAUGCUUUGACGGUACCAUCAGAGGAAGCACCGGCUAAAUACGUGCCAGCAGCCGCGGUAAUACGUAUGGUGCAAACGUUGCUCGGAAUCAUUGGGCGUAAAGAGUGGGUAGGCGGAUUAGUAAGUCUGAUGUGAAAGCCCGGAGCUCAACUCCGGAAGUGCAUUGGAUACUGCUAGUCUUGAUUUCAGGAGAGGGAAGCAGAAUUCCUGGUGUAGGAGUGAAAUCCGUAGAUAUCAGGAGGAAUACCAGAGGCGAAGGCGGCUUCCUGGACUGACAAUGACGCUGAGCCACGAAAGCGUGGGUAGCAAACAGGAUUAGAUACCCUGGUAGUCCACGCCCUA
Molecule: ribosomal RNA, 453 nt
Filed under: uncultured marine bacterium
Lineage: Bacteria
Description: bacterial SSU rRNA
Rfam family: Bacterial small subunit ribosomal RNA
Source: RNAcentral